This 6212-nucleotide long non-coding RNA is filed under the name Citrus maxima (pomelo). Its description in RNAcentral is "long non-coding RNA (CMAX_LNC001920)". The record is from RNAcentral. Lineage: Eukaryota; Viridiplantae; Streptophyta; Magnoliopsida; Sapindales; Rutaceae.
AUUUCCAAGUGUUGUACAACUUUAAUAGAUCAGAUUCCUCGCUGCAAGUGAGAAAUCCAAAAUAAAAACCCUAAGUCAAAAUUUGAGGCUCUUCCCUCACUAAUAAAGAAGACGAAAAUACACCCAUAAUCCUUCGAAAUCGUUCUUAUUUUCCAUGUAGAAGUUGUUGUUCUCCUCCAAACCGUAAACCCUUUGCUAUUGAGUAAUCCUUCAAACUCACCGAUCGUUUUUGAAGAAACCCUCACUAUCGCUCCGGUUGAUGAAGGUAAAUAAAUUUCGUUCUUCUCUAUUCUUUUGUUCCUCAAUUGGAUUUUUCAUAUAUUGAGUAAUAAUACCCUAAAAAAUAAACAUUUCAGAGGAAAGGUUGAGUUAGCGGACAUUGCAACGGGGCCGGGGACCAGAGUCGAAACUCAAAUUGCACAUUUUGCAGCAAGUCAGGAGGGCUACAGGCACGUGACCUUGAAUUUGAUUCCCCAACCUCACUGUCACUGUUCAAAGCGAAGCGAGCUUUUUGGUACAAAUGGUCUUCUGUUUCCCUCCCUCCAGGUUAGGUAUCGGUCGAGGUGAUAGUGUUGAAUUUUGCAUUUUUCAUAUAUUAACUCUCAAUUAAAUUACUAGGGCUUGGUUGGUUGUAAUUUGGGGUUAAUUGCAAUGGUUUUGUACAAUAAUUCUUCCAAUAAAAUUUGAUUCAGCCUGUUGUGUAUUUAGUACAGUAACUUUGGAAAACUUGGGCUCUUCUCUAAGAACUACUGACCCUCCAGAGACUCGUGGCUUUCUUCAAAAAAAAAAAAAAAUUUAAAGAACCUCUAUUAUCGUUUAACAUGUGCCAUUGUUAUUUAGUUCAUUUCGAUACUUGCUGUAAAGGGGCUUAGCUGUUUUAUUCUCCCCUGUUUAUUUUAUACUAUAUCGUUUUUUUAAUUUAUGUUUUCUCUUGACAAAGCUUUGUUGAGGUUUAUUAAAAAAACUUUCAUUAUGAAAUUCUUUUGUUAGUAAUUAUGGGUUUUUGUUACGUAUGUAAAAUUCUUCAUCAUUAAUCUUGAUUAUUGAAUUUUGUGAUGACUUCUUUUCAGGGGUUAAAACUGUUAGAAAAACACUAGAUCAGUUCGGAAGGACCUAUGUAGUCAGGCAAAGGUAGACAGCAAGCCACUGUGGUUUGACUUCACUGCUUUGGUGAUAAUGGUUCAAGGUAAUAAUGUUUUUACAUUGGUUUGUUUUAGCAUCGUCUUUGAAAUAUUUGAUUGCAUAAGUUUAAGAUAGCUCAUGACAACUAUUUAAUUUUUUUUUUCCUAUCACUCAAGUUAUGUCCUGUCUAAGGGGGUCAUUGAUCUUUAUUGAAUAGACGGUGACGAUACCAGCAUUGCACAAUGGUAGAAUACAUCUCUAUAUCUUUUCUAAUUUUAUUUUUAUGUUGGUUCUGAUUUGUUACCAAUUAAAAUGCUAAGGUUUGUUGUUUUGCUAAAAACAAUAGGACUGGCUGACAAAAACACAAAGCAACUUUACGUUUCAAGUUGACAAUAAUGUUUUUAUUAUUCAUACUAUUAUGAAUUGAAUAUUUGUUUACUAUCAGGUUUCCUUCAAAUUUUUUAGAUCUUUGACAUGAAAUUUAUUUUUUCUCAACUUAUAUAGAUGAUGGAUUUUAUUAUUUUCAUUAGAAACUUAUCCACUGUUUAUCGUUCCAACUGUCCUUACUAAACCAAUGACUACAUUUAGAGGUUUUCCAUUCAUUUCCUAUAAGAAUAGUUGUUCAUUCUAUUUUCUUGUCUUGGUUGAUUUUUAAAAUCAAGAUAUACUUGUAUUUUUCAGUUUAUCGUAGUUUAACAAGAAAAAAUAAAAAAUAUAUUGUAAACAGACUUAUACUCGGUAUCCUUUUAAAUCCUUGGACAAUGAGCAUUCCUUUUAACAUAUUUGUUGAAAAUCUUGCUUUAACAAAAAUUCUUCUCUUUGAAACAUUAAAGUAAAAAUAUCUCAAAUGCUAAUGUGAUGUAAUCCAGAUGAGAAUACUAGCCUGCGUCUUCUUUCUUUGAGUUGGAUAGUGUUAGUGUUCACAAGCCUACAAGCAUGGCAUUAAGGUUGAUAGAAUGGGGAGAUUCUGGUGAUUCCAGAAUUUUAUGAUAUUUCCUCUUUUGGAUUUUUAGAACUUUUACCUUUCUUUUUAUUAGCUUGAUUUUGGUGGAUUUUGUUUAAUUGUUUUGUUAACUCUUGAGAUUUGAAUUUGAAAUAAAUUUACUCUUGAGGAUUAAAUUUAUCCUGUUUUAAAUUAAUUACUAAUUAGGUAUGAGAAGGUGUAUGAUGUUGUGAAAAUUAUUAUUCCUGUGAGUAGUGACAGCAAGACAGCAAAGUACCUAUUUAAUACUUGUGAUAAAAUUACAGGCUCAGUUUAACAUAUCAAAUACCAAAUUUUAAAAAUUACAAACAAUAACAAAUAGAACAGAGCCCCUAAUUGGUUAUUUGCAUCAAUAAAUAAACCCCACCAUUCCAUUCAAGUUUCCACCAUCAGUUCCAAUGAUCAUGCUAAUGCUACGAUGAAAUGAUAGAUCUUCUUUUAGUUUCCUGCACGUCAAAACUCUCUAAUUGGCGUGUUAUUUUUUCAUGAAAUUUCUAACAUCUAUUAAUAAUUUCUUAAUGUUACUGAAAAGUUUGUAGUUCAUGGGAUGAUAGCCGAAGAGUUUUGGCUGAUCUAACUCUAUCAAGUUGGUAAUUGCUUUUCGUAACUAUAUCUUCAGCACUCGAAACCUUUUAUCGCUUUUCCAAGUUGAUUUCAGUCAUUUGUUAGUAAGUCUACGCGGAUGAAAUUGAUAGAAGCGUCAGGUUAUGUGGUGGUGUUAUAAUUACCAGAAAACAUUGUUGUAUAGGUUCCGUCGUGACAUUCUCAUGCGCUAUAUAAAUCAUCAUUGUUUUGCAGGUGCUUUAGGACAUUCUUUAGUGGAGUCUGGAUCGGCUAGGCAGGGUGCCUCAGAGGCAAGAGUCAAGAUGAAAAGAAAUAUAUCUACAACUACAUAAGGUAGGAAAUUUUAUUAUUUUUAAGUCUUCUAUCUCUUUUAACUUCAUUAGUCUAACAUCCUGUUGAACCUAAGCAUGAUUCAUUUCACAGAGUUUUGACCUGCUAUGUGCCCAAAAUGAACUCCUUGGUAGCGUUUUUUAUAUUGAAGAUUCUAUAGCUCAAGUUCUGUGGCUGUGCAGUUAGGCACAAGCAACGAUAGACUUGGAAGUAAUUUUUGCUGAGCAAGAGACUGAGGAACCAUUUUGUAGUUUGCCGAUUUGAUAGUGCUAUGCCAUAAAGCAAUUUACCUGGCAUGGCUUUACAAAUGGAUUGCAGAAUUAUUCAAGGUGUUCUGCAUCUUUCAUUAUUGAACCACUGAACUAUUCACUUUUGUCAAUGUUUCUAUGUGUUGGUCUGCUUUAAAUUUUAAUGGACGGAAAAAUGUGGGCCAUUGUGUUUUUCUAUGUCGUAUGGAGGUAGAUCACAAGUUAUAGCAAUAAUCUUUUCUUAUGGCCCCCCAGCACUUGUGUAGGUUAGUUACAUGUUGAGCGCAAUGAUGCUAUUUUACCAGUCAUAAGUCCUGCAACCCAAGCACUUGAAAUUGCUUCAUCUCAAGCUCUUAGAAUUGGCAAGGAGUUUUGUGGAGACGAUAAUCGGCUUAGACGUUUUAUUUCUUUCGAAGAUAAUUUUGUUGGUACAUUGUGGAUUUCUAACCCAAGGUGUAUUAAGCUUGUUUUUCAUAAGCUUCAGUACACUAGACAUUCUUUGCAGUGCUCUUCAAAUGACAGGACGUUUAUUGGGAUCUUACUUUAUUGAUGACACGGGUUCCGGAGCAGUUGGUGCAAUAAGUAAAAUUGAUCUUAUGUAGGGGUGGCAAUAUGGAUCGGGAUUCAUUUAUUUGAUUCGAUUCGAUUCGAUGCGAAUUAAAUGGGUUUGGGUUUGAAAAAAUUGAUUUGCUAAAUAAAUGAGUGAAUUCGAUUUGAUUCGCUAAUUAAAUGAAUUGAAUCUGGGUUUGAAGAUAUUGAUUCGUUUAUUCGUUUAAUAAAUGGGUCAUAAACAAAUUGAAUACAAGUCAAUUUGUUUAAAAUUCGUUUAUUAUUUGUUUAAUUAAAUUACUUUUUUGUCCUUAAAUUUAUUUGAUUUUUUUUUUUAAAUUUGAAGGUUAAUAUUGUAAUUUGGAUGACUGUAUAUUUAAUCAUAGAAUAUGAUUUGGGUUAUCUAUAUUUUGUUGUAGGAUAUUAAAUUAGUGGUUUUUUUAUAUUUUUUUUUAUAUUUUAUUUUGCUUAAUUUUCUUUAUUUAUUAUAUUUUUGUAAACAAUUUGUAAACGAAUCAUGAUUCGAUUCAAUUCGUUAUGGAUUCAUAAUAGAAUAAAUGAAUAAUAAAUGAAUCUAGAUUCGAUUCGUUUAUUAAUUCUACUAAAUGAAUUAACGAAUCGAACCGAAUAUUCGUUUAAUAAAUGAAUUGAAUCCGAAUCCUGAAAUUUCAAUUCGUUUAAUAAAUUAUUCGAAUCCGAAUUAGUAGAAUUUUGACCCAAUUCGUUUACAAUUCAAUUCGAAUUCAAUUCGUUUAUUCAUUUUGCCACCCCCUAAAUUCUCAUGCAAGCUAGAAAGUUCCGCCUUCUGUGGAGGCUCUCCUAUUAAAUGAAGGUCCUCCAAAAGGCACGCAACCUGAAUCAAAGAGCUCCUUAUAAAUUGUAUGGAGGGUAGAUUGUGAAAGUCUCAUGUCCAUAUUGACUCGCACUCAUAGCAAGUUAGGCAGAAUAGCUUGGUAGACGCUCUGGCUCAACAGAUUUGUGUGUAUGAAAGUUCAGGUUCUAAACCUCUUUCAUAGGUUAGAAAGAAGAGAUGAGGUGAUAAGGUUUUUUUAUGCUAGUGGCUUCCAAGUGAAAAUAGAAUUAAUACUGCAUUUACUAAACUGGAAUCAGAAUGAGCUGGAAUCGAAAUAAACAUGAAUGAAAAUGGGCUGGAAUGGGGAUAAGGAAUGAGAAUCAGAAUAGGUUGUUUACGUGAACUGUAGGAAUCGAAAUCGGAAUGAGCUGGAUUGCCAUAAAUGUGUUUACUUUGUCUUACAAUUGGAAUCAGAAUGAGUUAGAUUGUAAACCAUUAAUAAAAAGUACUUAAUGAAUUAUUGCCAUAAUUAUUAUUUUAUGUUUUAAUUAUAGUGAUAAUUUAUUCAAAAAUUAUUAUUAUUAUUAAUUAUUGUCAAUAAUCUAUUGAUAUAUUAAUUAAUUAUAAAAAUUAUUAAUUAAUUAUAAUAAUUAUAUUAACAAUUAUUAUAAAAUAUAUUAAUUAAUAAUAUUAAUAUUACCUAUUUAAUUAUAAUAAUAUAUUAAUUAUUGUGCUUAUUUAUUCAAAAAAUAUAAUUGUUAAUAUAUUGUUGUUAAUAAUUUAUUAAUAUAUUAAUUAAUGUAAUAAUUAUAUUAAUGAAUUAAUAAUAAUAAUAUGAAUUAAUUAUAAUAAUUAUAUUAAUGAUUAUUAUGAUAGUAUAUUUAUUAAUUAAUUAUAAUAAUAAAAAUAUAUUAAUUAUUGCGAUUAUUUAUUCAAAAGCUAUAAUUAUUAAUAUAUUAUUGUUAAUAAUGUAUUAAUAUAUUAAUUAAUAGUAAUAAUUAUAUAAAUUAAUUAAUAAUAAUAAUAUAUGAAUCAAUUAUAAUAAUUAUAUUAAUGAUUAUUAUUAAUAAAUAUAGUUUUUAUAUUAAUUAAUAGUAAUAAUUAUUUCAAUUAAUUAAUGUAAUAUAUGAAUUAAUUAUAAUAACUAUAUUAAUAAUUAUUAUAAUAGUAUAGUAAUUAAUUAAUUACUAACAAUAUAUUAAUUAUUGUGAUUAUUUAUUCAAAAAUUACAAUUAUUAAUAAUUCUUGUUAAUAAUGUAUCAAUAUACUCAUGAACUACAAUAUACUAAUUAAUUAAUUAUAAUAAUAUAUUAAUUAAUUAUAUAUUUGGCUUUUUUAUUUUUGAUUUAAAGGAGGGGCAUUUUAGGAAUAUUUGAAUAUUAAUGGGGGCAAAAUGGGAACUCUAGGGCAUGGGAAUCAAUCUCCCAUUCCCCAUUCCCAAAUAGUGGUGGGCCCCACGAUUUUGAAUCUGAUUCUUGUUCUAUUUUUGUGAAGUAAAUGCCGUCAAUCAUUCCAAUUCUGGAUUCCGAUUCCCCAAUUCGGGAAGUAAACGCAGCAUAAGUGUUCUUAAAGGUAAGUGUUGUGAAAAUUUUAUUGAACUCCCAAGUGCGCGAAUCUAUUGUAG